ACACGGCAUUGUCUAGUACGGCGAGUGAGCGGCAACAGCUCAAAUUUGAAAUCUGGCGUCUUCGGCGUCCGAGUUGUAAUUUGCAGAGGGCGCUUUGGCAUUGGCAGCGGUCCAAGUUCCUUGGAACAGGACGUCACAGAGGGUGAGAAUCCCGUACGUGGUCGCUAGCCUUUACCGUGUAAAGCCCCUUCGACGAGUCGAGUUGUUUGGGAAUGCAGCUCUAAAUGGGAGGUAAAUUUCUUCUAAAGCUAAAUACUGGCCAGAGACCGAUAGCGCACAAGUAGAGUGAUCGAAAGAUGAAAAGCACUUUGGAAAGAGAGUUAAAAAGCACGUGAAAUUGUUGAAAGGGAAGCGCUUGCAGCCAGACUUGCCUGUAGUUGCUCAUCCGGGUUUCUACCCGGUGCACUCUUCUAUAGGCAGGCCAGCAUCAGUUUGGGCGGUUGGAUAAAGGUCUCUGUCAUGUACCUCCUUUCGGGGAGAACUUAUAGGGGAGACGACAUGCAACCAGCCCGGACUGAGGUCCGCGCAUCUGCUAGGAUGCUGGCGUAAUGGCUGUAAGCGGCCCGUCUUGAACCACGGACCAA
This 584-nucleotide ribosomal RNA is filed under the name Ectophoma multirostrata. RNAcentral describes it as "partial large subunit ribosomal RNA". It matches the Rfam family "Eukaryotic large subunit ribosomal RNA", at positions 68 to 669 of the family's 3401-position model. The record is from RNAcentral. Lineage: Eukaryota; Fungi; Ascomycota; Dothideomycetes; Pleosporales; Didymellaceae.